This 878-nucleotide ribosomal RNA is filed under the name uncultured bacterium. RNAcentral's name for it is "bacterial SSU rRNA". It matches the Rfam family "Bacterial small subunit ribosomal RNA", at positions 10 to 916 of the family's 1533-position model. The record is from RNAcentral.
AGUUUGAUCCUGGCUCAGGACGAACGCUGGCGGCGUGCCUAAUACAUGCAAGUCGAACGAGAAACUUCGGUUUCGAGUGGCGAACGGGUGAGUAACACGUGGGCAACCUGCCCUCAAGCCUGGGAUAACUCCGGGAAACCGGGGCUAACACCAGAUAAUCUUUUCCUUCGCAUGAAGGAAAAGUAAAAGUUUACACUUGAGGAUGGGCCCGCGGUGCAUUAGCUAGUUGGUGGGGUAAAGGCCUACCAAGGCGACGAUGCAUAGCCGACCUGAGAGGGUGACCGGCCACACUGGGACUGAGACACGGCCCAGACUCCUACGGGAGGCAGCAGUAGGGAAUUUUCCGCAAUGGGCGCAAGCCUGACGGAGCAACGCCGCGUGAGUGAAGACGGUCUUCGGAUUGUAAAGCUCUGUUCUUGGGGAAGAAACAAAUGACGGUACCCAAGCAGAAAGCCCCGGCUAACUACGUGCCAGCAGCCGCGGUAAUACGUAGGGGGCAAGCGUUGUCCGGAAUUAUUGGGCGUAAAGCGCGCGCAGGUGGUGGAUUAAGUUGUGGGUAAAAGGCAUUGGCUCAACCAAUGUAAGCCUGCAAAACUGGUUCACUUGAGUGCAGGAGAGGAGAGUGGAAUUCCCGGUGUAGCGGUGGAAUGCGUAGAUAUCGGGAGGAACACCAGUGGCGAAGGCGACUCUCUGGCCUGUAACUGACACUGAGGCGCGAAAGCGUGGGGAGCGAACAGGAUUAGAUACCCUGGUAGUCCACGCCGUAAACGAUGAGUGCUAGGUGUUGGGGGCAUCACGUCCUCAGUGCCGAAGGAAACCCAUUAAGCACUCCGCCUGGGGAGUACGGCCGCAAGGCUGAAACUCAAAGGAAUUGACGG